AUUGAACGCUGGCGGCAGGCUUAACACAUGCAAGUCGAGCGAGCGGCGGACGGGUGAGUAAUGUCUGGGAAACUGCCUGAUGGAGGGGGAUAACUACUGGAAACGGUAGCUAAUACCGCAUACCAUCAGAUGUGCCCAGAUGGGAUUAGCUAGUAGGUGGGGUAAUGGCUCACCUAGGCGACGAUCCCUAGCUGGUCUGAGAGGAUGACCAGCCCCACGGGAACUGAGACACGGUCCAGAUUCCUACGGGUGUCAGCAGUGGGGAAUAUUGCACAAUGGGCGCAAGCCGGAUGCAGCAAUGCCGCGGGUAUGAGAAGGGCCUUCGGGUUGUAAAGUACUUUCAGCGAGGAGGCGUUACUCGCAGAAGAAGCACCGGCUAACUCCGUGCCAGCAGCCGCGGUAAUUC
This 406-nucleotide ribosomal RNA is filed under the name uncultured bacterium. RNAcentral describes it as "partial 16S ribosomal RNA". It matches the Rfam family "Bacterial small subunit ribosomal RNA", at positions 30 to 526 of the family's 1533-position model. The record is from RNAcentral.